RNAcentral lists this ribosomal RNA (506 nucleotides) under Sungouiella intermedia. RNAcentral describes it as "[Candida] intermedia partial large subunit ribosomal RNA". It matches the Rfam family "Eukaryotic large subunit ribosomal RNA", at positions 95 to 668 of the family's 3401-position model. The record is from RNAcentral. Lineage: Eukaryota; Fungi; Ascomycota; Pichiomycetes; Serinales; Metschnikowiaceae.
UGAGCGGCAAAAGCUCAAAUUUGAAAUCCUUCGGGAGUUGUAAUUUGUAGGUUGGGAGACCCCGCGGCUAGUGGCACCAAGUCCCUUGGAACAGGGCGCCUUAGAGGGUGAGAGCCCCGUAGGUACCACAAUACCGUCUUGUGUCUCCUCUCCAAAGAGUCGAGUUGUUUGGGAAUGCAGCUCAAAGUGGGUGGUAAAUUCCAUCUAAAGCUAAAUACCGGCGAGAGACCGAUAGCGAACAAGUACAGUGAUGGAAAGAUGAAAAGCACUUUGAAAAGAGAGUGAAACAGUACGUGAAAUUGUUGAAAGGGAAGGGCUUGCAAGCAGACACGGCCUUCGUGCCGGGCCAGCAUCGGUUGCUAGGGGUGGAUAAGGAACAAGGAAUGUAGCUCCUCGGAGUAUUAUAGCCUUGCGCGAUACACCCACUGGCGACCGAGGCCUGCGGUAUUCUUUACCUAGGAUGCUGGCGUAAUGGUUGCAAGCCGCCCGUCUUGAAACACGGACCA